Molecule: ribosomal RNA, 253 nt
Filed under: uncultured bacterium
Lineage: Bacteria
Description: partial 16S ribosomal RNA
Rfam family: Bacterial small subunit ribosomal RNA
Source: RNAcentral
UACGAAGGGGGCUAGCGUUGCUCGGAAUCACUGGGCGUAAAGGGCGCGUAGGCGGCCAAGUAAGUUGGGGGUGAAAGCCCGUGGCUCAACCACGGAAUUGCCUUUGAUACUGCUUGGCUUGAGACCGGAAGAGGUGAGUGGAACUGCGAGUGUAGAGGUGAAAUUCGUAGAUAUUCGCAAGAACACCAGUGGCGAAGGCGGCUCACUGGUCCGGAUCUGACGCUGAGGCGCGAAAGCGUGGGGAGCAAACAGG